RNAcentral lists this ribosomal RNA (468 nucleotides) under uncultured bacterium. RNAcentral's name for it is "partial 16S ribosomal RNA". It matches the Rfam family "Bacterial small subunit ribosomal RNA", at positions 28 to 507 of the family's 1533-position model. The record is from RNAcentral.
GACGAACGCUGGCGGCGUGCUUAACACAUGCAAGUCGAACGGAAAGGCCCUGCUUUUGUGGGGUGCUCGAGUGGCGAACGGGUGAGUAACACGUGAGUAACCUGCCCUUGACUUUGGGAUAACUUCAGGAAACUGGGGCUAAUACCGGAUAGGAGCUCCUGCUGCAUGGUGGGGGUUGGAAAGUUUCGGCGGUUGGGGAUGGACUCGCGGCUUAUCAGCUUGUUGGUGGGGUAGUGGCUUACCAAGGCUUUGACGGGUAGCCGGCCGGAGAGGGUGACCGGACACUCUGGACUGGGAGUGGGCCACAGCCCCCAGCGGGAGGGGAGGGGGGGGAAUUUUACAGAGGGGGCUGGACUUAGGCCCGACCCGGCCGGGCGGGGGAUGAGGGCAUGGGGUUAGUAAUGGAUUUCCCCCUGAGCCGGGGGGUGAAUGACAGUAAUGGGAAAAGAAGCACCGGCUAACUCCGUG